RNAcentral lists this small RNA (913 nucleotides) under Cladophoropsis fasciculata. RNAcentral describes it as "eukaryotic LSU rRNA". The stretch from base 430 to 581 matches the Rfam family "5.8S ribosomal RNA". Lineage: Eukaryota; Viridiplantae; Chlorophyta; Ulvophyceae; Cladophorales; Boodleaceae. The record is from RNAcentral.
UAGCAAUCAUAUUCGAAGCCCGCGAGACGAAAUUCGUCUGCGGCACCCACCCGUUGGCCGGGCGGGGGUGCACGAUGGCUUGGAAUGAUCCAACCAUUUUGCCCGCGUCCCGAGCCUGUGUGCCACACGUGCCCCAUCGCAAGCAGACUUGCUCUGACGCCGCAACUGUUGCCCAUGGCAUCAAAUGCAAGUGCGAGAAAGGCUGAUGGGUGCACUGGUCGGUUCUGGUCGCCAAAUAAAAUUCCUCAGGGAAAAGGAUUGGCAAGGGAUCCAAACCGACUGGGGUUGACAACCGCAGUCCCACUGGCAGGGAUCUGGACUGAUCUGCUGCUUGGUGCACUGCGUCAAUCUUCCCCGUGCCUCCAAUCAUCAGCAGUGAAUCUGUUAUUGGCGUCGAGACAUUGUAUGUCCGCGUCGCAAAUCUAGAAACACACUGUACAAUGGAUUUCUCGGCUCCCACAUCGAUGAAGAACGCAGCAAAGCGCGAUAGGUAAUGUGAAUUGCAGAAUACCGUGAAUCAUCGAAUUUUUGAACGCAUAUUGCGCCCGGGUUUGAGCCUGGGCAUGUCUGCCUCAGCGUCGAUUUCCUCCUGGCACCGCCGAUCUGGUCCUUGCAACACCGCGCACGUCGCAUGGACUGAAAUUCGAUCGCAGGCACAGCUUGGCCUAGAGCCAAGACGCUGCUUCGUGAAGCCGCAAGGUAUGUGUGACAUCGCAUUUGAUGGCCACGUACUAGACGGUCAUGGCACAGGCUCUCCUACCGCCGAUCUUCGGUGUCACGGGGAACUUCGCCUCAUGGAUGCAAUUUGGCGACAUGCCGAACUCUAUGGGAGCGGGGAUUUUCCUCGGCAUCUGUUGCAAGAGCGGUCGGUGUGGUUGCAGUCUGGUGCCGAUCACUGUCUCGACCUGAGUCA